UGGGGAAUAUUGCACAAUGGGGGAAACCCUGAUGCAGCGACGCCGCGUGAGUGAAGAAGUAUUUCGGUAUGUAAAGCUCUAUCAGCAGGGACGAUAAUGACGGUACCUGACUAAGAAGCCCCGGCUAACUACGUGCCAGCAGCCGCGGUAAUACGUAGGGGGCAAGCGUUAUCCGGAUUUACUGGGUGUAAAGGGAGCGUAGACGGUUUGGUAAGUCAGAUGUGAAAGCCCGGGGCUCAACCCCGGGACUGCAUUUGAAACUAUCAGGCUAGAGUGCAGGAGAGGUAAGUGGAAUUCCUAGUGUAGCGGUGAAAUGCGUAGAUAUUAGGAGGAACACCAGUGGCGAAGGCGGCUUACUGGACUGUAACUGACGUUGAGGCUCGAAAGCGUGGGGAGCAAACAGG
RNAcentral lists this ribosomal RNA (404 nucleotides) under uncultured prokaryote. RNAcentral describes it as "bacterial SSU rRNA". It matches the Rfam family "Bacterial small subunit ribosomal RNA", at positions 355 to 776 of the family's 1533-position model. The record is from RNAcentral. RNAcentral also lists the same sequence under 1 other name.